UUUACCUACGGGAGGCAGCAGUGAGGAAUAUUGGUCAAUGGCCGGAAGGCUGAACCAGCCAAGCCGCGUGAAGGACGAAGGUGCCAAGCAUUGUAAACUUCUUUUGUCAAGGGACAAAAUCAGGCUCGAGAGCCUGACCGAGGGUACUUGAAGAAAAAGCAUCGGCUAACUCCGUGCCAGCAGCCGCGGUAAUACGUAGGGGGCAAGCGUUAUCCGGAUUUACUGGGUGUAAAGGGAGCGUAGACGGCGAUGCAAGUCUGAAGUGAAAGGCGGGGGCCCAACCUCCGGACUGCUUUGGAAACUGG
Molecule: ribosomal RNA, 305 nt
Filed under: uncultured bacterium
Lineage: Bacteria
Description: bacterial SSU rRNA
Rfam family: Bacterial small subunit ribosomal RNA
Source: RNAcentral